UCCUACGGGAGGCAGCAGUAGGGAAUCUUCCGCAAUGGACGAAAGUCUGACGGAGCAACGCCGCGUGAGUGAUGAAGGCUUUCGGGUCGUAAAACUCUGUUGUUAGGGAAGAACAAGUUGGGUAGUAACUGACCCAACCUUGACGGUACCUAACCAGAAAGCCACGGCUAACUACGUGCCAGCAGCCGCGGUAAUACGUAGGUGGCAAGCGUUAUCCGGAAUUAUUGGGCGUAAAGCGCGCGCAGGUGGUUUCUUAAGUCUGAUGUGAAAGCCCACGGCUCAACCGUGGAGGGUCAUUGGAAACUGGGAGACUUGAGUGCAGAAGAGGAAAGUGGAAUUCCAUGUGUAGCGGUGAAAUGCGUAGAGAUAUGGAGGAACACCAGUGGUGAAGGCGACUUUCUGGUCUGUAACUGACACUGAGGCGCGAAAGCGUGGGGAGCAAACAGGAUUAGAUACCCUGGUAGUCCACGCCGUAAACGAUGAGUGCUAAGUGUUAGAGGGUUUCCGCCCUUUAGUGCUGAAGUUAACGCAUUAAGCACUCCGCCUGGGGAGUACGGCCGCAAGGCUGAAACUCAAAGGAAUUGACGGA
Molecule: ribosomal RNA, 589 nt
Filed under: uncultured bacterium
Lineage: Bacteria
Description: bacterial SSU rRNA
Rfam family: Bacterial small subunit ribosomal RNA
Source: RNAcentral